RNA transcript from Stegodyphus dumicola, 479 nucleotides. RefSeq lists it as uncharacterized. The record is from RefSeq and is a predicted model, not a curated record. NCBI's taxonomy places the organism in Eukaryota, Metazoa, Arthropoda, Arachnida, Araneae, Eresidae.
UCAUCUCGCUUUCGAAAACUGCUUUCUCUGCUGUGGGAUUGUUAGCACUUGUUUCCAGGUGAUAGUCCCUGAUAAACCAACUUUAUAAACUUAACAAUAUUUUUUGUCAUUCAAUUGGUUAUAAAUUCUACACCGGAAAAGAUGAAAACCGUUCUGUGCAUUCUCUUGGUUCUAACCAUCUUCAUCGCUACUUCUGAAGCUGGCCUUUGUAAUUGGAUAUGCAGAAAAGUAUGCAGCACUGCGAAUCACUGUGAGACACUUUGCACCCUGCUGUGCACAGAUCCCGUUUCAGUGAAAACUUAUCGCUUCCCGGGUGCUUAAAGUAGGAGUGAUGAAGUCAAUUCAUUCGUAAUUGUCUGUCGUAAAAAAAUAUUUAAACACAAAAUUUACCGAAACUUUGAAUAUGUAUUGUACAGUGAUCAACAGUAAUUCAACACAACUUUGUAAUUAAUAAAGGAGUUUCUUUUGAGAAGACGUAA